Molecule: RNA transcript, 1360 nt
Organism: Bubalus bubalis (water buffalo)
Lineage: Eukaryota; Metazoa; Chordata; Mammalia; Artiodactyla; Bovidae
Gene: ROPN1L
Gene name: rhophilin associated tail protein 1 like
Exons: 8
Source: RefSeq, a predicted model, not a curated record
GCGCCUGCGCGAUGCCAGAGGGGCGGAGCCCACGCGCGCGUCUCGGUUGCCUGGUUACCGCUGCGAGACAAUUAGGAAGGGCGGUUGGCCCUCAUUUUCAGAGGAGCCUGCGGAGAAGCGCACACCUUGGUUCUUCCAGCUUGGUUCUGGUCUGCGGAGAGCGAUGCCGCUUCCCGACACGAUGUUCUGCGCGCAGCAGAUCCACAUCCCCCCUGAACUGCCGGACAUCCUGAAGCAGUUCACCAAGGCUGCGAUCCGCACCCAGCCCGCCGACGUGCUCCAGUGGUCCGCGGGGUAUUUUUCAGCUUUGUCAAGAGGAGAUCCACUGCCUGUGAAGGACAGAAUCGAAAUGCCCAUGGCCACUCAGAAAACAGACACAGGCCUGACUCAAGGACUCCUUAAAGUUUUGCAUAAGCAGUGUAGCCACAAGGAAUAUGUGGACUUAGCAGAUCUUGAGCAGAAAUGGAAAAAUUUGUGCCUGCCUGUAGAAAAAUUCAGAGCUCUCCUGCAGCUGGAUCCUUGCGAAGACAAAAUCGAGUGGAUAAAAUUUUUAGCACUUGGAUGCAGCAUGCUUGGUGGGUCACUGAACACUGCGAUGAAGCACCUCUGCGAGAUCCUGACCACGGAUCCCGAGGGCGGGCCCGCGCGCAUCCCUUUCGGGACCUUCUCCUACGUCUACCGCUACCUGUCGGGGCUCGACUCGGACAUCCCUGAGUCGGACACCGAGGCCUACCUCUCCUCGCUGAAGGAGAACGCAGUAUUUAUCUACAUAUUUGGCUGCCCUGGGUCUUAGUUGCAGCAUGUAGGAUCUAACACCCUGACCAGGAUGGAACCCCAUGCCCCUGCACUGGGAGUGCGGAGUCUUAGCCACUGGACCACGGGGGAAGUCCUUCAACCGGCGUUUCUAACAUCCACCCCUCCAUUUCCUUGGUGCCGGCUUUCCAUGAGGUUGGAAGACCCAAAAACGAAAAGAGUGGGAGAGUCCCCUGGAGAAGGCGGAGGAGCAUGGACAGCCACUGAGGACCGGUGUGGAGACCUGACGAUGCAGCGGCAGGAAGGACCUGGACUGGCACCAGGGCACUCCUGCAGAAUCGGGGGGAAAAAACGGGCCGUCCUCUGCGUGUAUCAGUGCGUCUUCUCUUCCCGUAAGGACAGCAGUCAGUGAUGACUCUGCUCGAGGAUGACUUCAUCAUAACUAAUCAUCUCUGCAGAGACUCUGUUUUUCCAGAUAAGGUCACGUUCAGAGGUUCUGGUGGGACCUGCGUUUUGGGAGGGGACAUUAUUCAAUCCACUACCUUUCCUUACCCAUAUAUUGUUGGAUUCUCAUGUCUGAAAAAAAUUUAUUAAUUGGAGAAAAUAA